GACGAACGCUGGCGGCGUGCUUAACACAUGCAAGUCGAACGGAAAGGCCCUGCUUUUGUGGGGUGCUCGAGUGGCGACCGGGUGAGUAACACGUGAGUAACCUGUCCUUCACUUUGGUAUAACUUAAGGAAACUUGGGCUAAUACCGGAAAGGAUCUCUCGCCGCAUGGUGGGGGUUGGAAAGAUUCGGCGGUUGGGGAUGGAAUCGCGGCGUAUCGGAUUGUUGCUGGGGUAGUGGCUUACCAUGGCUUUGACGGGUAGCCGGCCUGAGAGGAUGAGCGGACACGUUGCGACUGGAAUGAGACCCAGACUCCUACCGUACGCGAGGGUGCAGAGUAGAACACUGGAGGCGGGGGGCAGGUGCAACACCGCCGCGUGGGGGAUGACAGGCUUGGGGUAGUGAUCCGCUGUCGCCUUAGACGAGAUGAGAGUGACAGUAAUGGGUAAAGAAGCUCCGGCUAACUACGUG
RNAcentral lists this ribosomal RNA (468 nucleotides) under uncultured bacterium. Its description in RNAcentral is "partial 16S ribosomal RNA". It matches the Rfam family "Bacterial small subunit ribosomal RNA", at positions 28 to 507 of the family's 1533-position model. The record is from RNAcentral.